Molecule: ribosomal RNA, 292 nt
Filed under: uncultured bacterium
Lineage: Bacteria
Description: partial 16S ribosomal RNA
Rfam family: Bacterial small subunit ribosomal RNA
Source: RNAcentral
GUGCCAGCAGCCGCGGUAAUACGGAGGGUGCCAGCGUUGUCCGGAUUCAUUGGGUUUAAAGGGUGCGCAGGCGGAAGCUUAAGUCGGGGGUGAAAGACGGUUGCUCAACAAUCGCAGUGCCUUCGAUACUGGGUUUCUUGGGUGAAGUCGAGGCGGAUGGAAUGCAAGGUGUAGCGGUGAAAUGCAUAGAUACCUUGCAGAACUCCGAUUGCGAAGGCAGUCCGCUAGGCUUUAACCGACGCUCAGGCACGAAAGCGUGGGGAUCAAACAGGAUUAGAUACCCCUGUAGUCC